CCUACGGGUGGCAGCAGUGGGGAAUAUUGGGCAAUGGGCGCAAGCCUGACCCAGCAACGCCGCGUGAAGGAAGAAGGCUUUCGGGUUGUAAACUUCUUUUCUCAGGGACGAAGAAAGUGACGGUACCUGAGGAAUAAGCCACGGCUAACUACGUGCCAGCAGCCGCGGUAAUACGUAGGUGGCAAGCGUUAUCCGGAUUUACUGGGUGUAAAGGGCGUGUAGGCGGGAAAGCAAGUCAGAUGUGAAAACCAUGGGCUCAACCUGUGGCCUGCAUUUGAAACUGUUUUUCUUGAGUACUGGGGAGGCAGACGGAAUUCCUCGUGUAGCGGUGAAAUGCGUAGAUAUGAGGAGGAACACCAGUGGCGAAGGCGGUCUGCUGGACAGCAACUGACGCUGAGGCGCGAAAGCGUGGGGAGCAAACAGGAUUAGAUACCCGUGUAGUC
This 443-nucleotide ribosomal RNA is filed under the name uncultured bacterium. RNAcentral describes it as "partial 16S ribosomal RNA". It matches the Rfam family "Bacterial small subunit ribosomal RNA", at positions 338 to 795 of the family's 1533-position model. The record is from RNAcentral.